RNAcentral lists this ribosomal RNA (599 nucleotides) under Gloydius ussuriensis (Ussuri mamushi). RNAcentral's name for it is "partial 12S ribosomal RNA". Lineage: Eukaryota; Metazoa; Chordata; Lepidosauria; Squamata; Viperidae. The record is from RNAcentral.
UGACUAAAUUAACAGUUAAAACUUAGGGUAGAACUCCGGCUGGGCUGUAAAAAGCCAUAAGCCACACUAAUCCCCACCCCUAACACCACACAACUUUGACUCAUGAAAGCUAGGAUACAAACUAAGAUUAGAUACCCUACUAUGCCUAGCCGUAACACACAAUUAAAUCACCAAUUGUUCGCCAAACAACUACGAGCCAUACUUGAAACUUAAAAGACUUGACGGUACUUCAUCACGACCUAGAGGAGCCUGUCUAAUAACCGACAAUCCACGAUUAACCCAACCCCUUCUUGCCCAACAGUCUAUAUACCGCCGUCGCCAGCUUACCUUGUAAAAGAAAUAAAGUGAGCUAAAUAAUACAACAUUAAAACGACAGGUCGAGGUGUAACCUAUGAAGGGGCCAAGAUGGGCUACAUUCUCCCCAGAGAAUACGAAUAACACUAUGAAACUAGUAUUUGAAGGCGGAUUUAGUAGUAAGCUAAGAAUAAAAUACUUAACUGAACAUAACGCAAUGAAGUGCGUACACACCGCCCGUCAUCCCUGCCACCACAAUAUAAACCUUUAUAAACUAACCCAAAAAUCAAUACAGGGCAAGUCGU